This 229-nucleotide ribosomal RNA is filed under the name uncultured bacterium. RNAcentral describes it as "partial 16S ribosomal RNA". It matches the Rfam family "Bacterial small subunit ribosomal RNA", at positions 568 to 796 of the family's 1533-position model. The record is from RNAcentral.
UGCGUAGGCGGAUCAAUAAGUCAGUGGUGAAAUCUCUCGGCUCAACCGGGAAACUGCCAUUGAUACUGUUGAUCUUGAGUUCGGUUGAGGUAGGCGGGAUGUGUAAUGUAGCGGUGAAAUGCUUAGAUAUUACACAGAACACCAAUUGCGUAGGCAGCUUACUAGACCGACACUGACGCUGAGGCACGAAAGCGUGGGGAGCGAACAGGAUUAGAUACCCUGGUAGUCC